CCUUGGCUUCAGAUUGAACGCUGGCGGCAGGCUUAACACAUGCAAGUCGAGCGGAAACGAUGAUAGCUUGCUAUCAGGCGUCGAGCGGCGGACGGGUGAGUAAUACUUAGGAAUCUACCUAGUAGUGGGGGAUAGCACGGGGAAACUCGUAUUAAUACCGCAUACGACCUACGGGAGAAAGGGGGCAGUUUACUGCUCUCGCUAUUAGAUGAGCCUAAGUCGGAUUAGCUAGAUGGUGGGGUAAAGGCCUACCAUGGCGACGAUCUGUAGCUGGUCUGAGAGGAUGAUCAGCCACACCGGGACUGAGACACUGCCGCAU
This 319-nucleotide ribosomal RNA is filed under the name Psychrobacter urativorans. Its description in RNAcentral is "bacterial SSU rRNA". It matches the Rfam family "Bacterial small subunit ribosomal RNA", at positions 17 to 336 of the family's 1533-position model. The record is from RNAcentral. Lineage: Bacteria; Pseudomonadati; Pseudomonadota; Gammaproteobacteria; Moraxellales; Moraxellaceae.